This 494-nucleotide ribosomal RNA is filed under the name uncultured bacterium. Its description in RNAcentral is "partial 16S ribosomal RNA". It matches the Rfam family "Bacterial small subunit ribosomal RNA", at positions 28 to 507 of the family's 1533-position model. The record is from RNAcentral.
GACGAACGCUGGCGGCGUGCUUAACACAUGCAAGUCGAACGGAAAGGCCUGCUUUCCCUUGUGGAUUGCGGGUACUCGAGUGGCGAACGGGUGAGUAACACGUGAGUGAUCUGCCCCCAACUUGGGUAUAAGCCUGGGAAACUGGGUCUAAUUCCCGAUAGGACUGCAGGGUGGUGCCUGUGGUGGAAAACGAUUUUCUAGUGGUUGGGGAUGAGCUCGCGGCCUAUCAGCUUGUUGGUGGGGUAAUGGCCUACCAAGGCGGCGACGGGUAGCCGGCCUGAGAGGGUGGACGGAACCAUUGGGACUGAGAUACGGCCCAGAGUCCAACGAGAGGCAGGAGUCGGGAAUAUAGGACAAGGAGCAGAAGCCUGAAGCAGCGAGGCAGCGUGGGGAUUGACGGAAUUGGGGGAGUAAACUCCUUUCGACAGAGAGGAAGCCACGUGGAUGGAAGGGUGGUGACGGUAGUGGGAGAAGAAGCAGCGGCUAACUACGUG